This 73-nucleotide transfer RNA is filed under the name Buchnera aphidicola (Periphyllus lyropictus). RNAcentral describes it as "tRNA-Ala". It matches the Rfam family "tRNA". From Rfam's summary of the family: Transfer RNA (tRNA) molecules are approximately 80 nucleotides in length. Their secondary structure includes four short double-helical elements and three loops (D, anti-codon, and T loops). The record is from RNAcentral. Lineage: Bacteria; Pseudomonadati; Pseudomonadota; Gammaproteobacteria; Enterobacterales; Erwiniaceae.
GGGGCUAUAGCUCAGCAGGGAGAGCGCCUGCUUUGCAAGCAGGAGGUCAGCGGUUCGAUCCCGCUUAGCUCCA